GCAAGUCGAGCGGUAACAGAGAUAGCUUGCUAUCUGCUGACGAGCGGCGGACGGGUGAGUAAUGCUUGGGAAUAUGCCUUUGAGUGGGGGACAACAGUUGGAAACGACUGCUAAUACCGCAUGAUAGCUACGGCUCAAAGGGGGCUUCGGCUCUCGCCUUUAGAUUGGCCCAAGUGGGAUUAGCUAGUUGGUGAGGUAAUGGCUCACCAAGGCAACGAUCCCUAGCUGGUUUGAGAGGAUGAUC
RNAcentral lists this ribosomal RNA (244 nucleotides) under uncultured bacterium. RNAcentral describes it as "partial 16S ribosomal RNA". It matches the Rfam family "Bacterial small subunit ribosomal RNA", at positions 57 to 305 of the family's 1533-position model. The record is from RNAcentral.